UUUAAAACUCAAAGAAAUUGACGGGGGCCCGCACAAGCGGUGGAGCAUGUGGUUUAAUUCGAUGCAACGCGAAAAACCUUACCUACCCUUGACAUCCUCGGAACUUGUCAGAGAUGAUUUGGUGCCUUCGGGAACCGAGUGACAGGUGCUGCAUGGCUGUCGUCAGCUCGUGUCGUGAGAUGUUGGGUUAAGUCCCGUAACGAGCGCAACCCUCGUCCUUAGUUGCCAGCGAGUCAAGUCGGGAACUCUAAGGAGACUGCCGGUGAUAAACCGGAGGAAGGUGGGGAUGAUGUCAAGUCAUCAUGGCCCUUACGGGUAGGGCUACACACGUGCUACAAUGGGCAGUACAAAGGGUUGCCAAGCCGCGAGGUGGAGCUAAUCCCA
RNAcentral lists this ribosomal RNA (384 nucleotides) under Coxiella burnetii. RNAcentral describes it as "bacterial SSU rRNA". It matches the Rfam family "Bacterial small subunit ribosomal RNA", at positions 893 to 1276 of the family's 1533-position model. The record is from RNAcentral. Lineage: Bacteria; Pseudomonadati; Pseudomonadota; Gammaproteobacteria; Legionellales; Coxiellaceae.